This 359-nucleotide ribosomal RNA is filed under the name Eukaryota sp. RNAcentral describes it as "SSU rRNA". It matches the Rfam family "Eukaryotic small subunit ribosomal RNA", at positions 1325 to 1700 of the family's 1831-position model. The record is from RNAcentral.
UCGUUAACGAACGAGACCUCGACCUGCUAAAUAGUUCGGUGAAGGCGUCAGCCUUCAUACGUGACUUCUUAGAGGGACUAUCGGUGUUUUAGCCGAAGGAAGUUCGAGGCAAUAACAGGUCUGUGAUGCCCUUAGAUGUUCUGGGCUGCACGCGCGCUACACUGAUGGUUGCAUCGAGCUUACAACCUUGACUGAGAAGUCUGGGUAAUCUUUUCAACGACCAUCGUGCUGGGGAUAGAACAUUGCAAUUAUUGUUCUUCAACGAGGAAUUCCUAGUAAACGCAAGUCAUCAACUUGCAUUGAUUACGUCCCUGCCCUUUGUACACACCGCCCGUCGCUAAUACCGAUUGAAUGGAUAA